RNAcentral lists this transfer RNA (73 nucleotides) under Bos taurus (domestic cattle). It matches the Rfam family "tRNA". Rfam says of the family: Transfer RNA (tRNA) molecules are approximately 80 nucleotides in length. Their secondary structure includes four short double-helical elements and three loops (D, anti-codon, and T loops). Lineage: Eukaryota; Metazoa; Chordata; Mammalia; Artiodactyla; Bovidae. The record is from Rfam by way of RNAcentral. RNAcentral also lists the same sequence under 4 other names.
UCCCUGAUAGUCCAGUGGUUAGGACUUGGAGCCUCCACUGUAGCGGGUACAGGUUCGAUCCCUGGUCGGGGAA